GAUGAACGCUGGCGGCGUGCCUAAUACAUGCAAGUCGAGCGAACAGAUGAGGAGCUUGCUCCUCUGACGUUAGCGGCGGACGGGUGAGUAACACGUGGAUAACCUACCUAUAAGACUGGGAUAACUUCGGGAAACCGGAGCUAAUACCGGAUAAUAUAUUGAACCGCAUGGUUCAAUAGUGAAAGACGGUUUUGCUGUCACUUAUAGAUGGAUCCGCGCCGCAUUAGCUAGUUGGUAAGCUAACGGCUUACCAAGGCAACGAUGCGUAGCCGACCUGAGAGGGUGAUCGGCCACACUGGAACUGAGACACGGUCCAGACUCCUACGGGAGGCAGCAGUAGGGAAUCUUCCGCAAUGGGCGAAAGCCUGACGGAGCAACGCCGCGUGAGUGAUGAAGGUCUUCGGAUCGUAAAACUCUGUUAUUAGGGAAGAACAAAUGUGUAAGUAACUAUGCACGUCUUGACGGUACCUAAUCAGAAAGCCACGGCUAACUACGUG
RNAcentral lists this ribosomal RNA (497 nucleotides) under uncultured bacterium. RNAcentral describes it as "partial 16S ribosomal RNA". It matches the Rfam family "Bacterial small subunit ribosomal RNA", at positions 28 to 507 of the family's 1533-position model. The record is from RNAcentral.